UGAGACCUCUUGAUGGCCGCGGCCGUGAUCUUCAUUGGGAUCGGCUGAGGAACUUCCGGGCUCCAUAGAGCACGAUGGCGGAUAACGUCCGCCCAGGGUGACCUGAGAGAUAGCGCAACAGAGAACAGACCGCCCGUCCUCGACGGGUAAGGGUGAAACGGCGGUGUAAGAGACCACCGGGCCUCUGGUAACAGUAGGUCGCAUGGCAAGCCUCAUCGGGAGCAAGGCCAAGCAGAUGGCGGUAAGGGCUGCUCGCCCGUGUCAUCGGGUAGGCUGCUAGAGCCUGGCGGUAACGUCAGGUCGAGAUGGAUGGCCAUCCGUGCCGUGCGUUCGCGCACGGCACGGAAGCACCCAGGGUAUAAGAGGUCUCAUUUU
This 375-nucleotide RNase P RNA is filed under the name Bifidobacterium longum. RNAcentral describes it as "RNase P RNA component class A". It matches the Rfam family "Bacterial RNase P class A". Rfam says of the family: Ribonuclease P (RNase P) is a ubiquitous endoribonuclease, found in archaea, bacteria and eukarya as well as chloroplasts and mitochondria. Lineage: Bacteria; Bacillati; Actinomycetota; Actinomycetes; Bifidobacteriales; Bifidobacteriaceae. The record is from RNAcentral.